UCUGACUUCAGAAAAUUUCAUUUGAGCUGG
RNAcentral lists this non-coding RNA (30 nucleotides) under Mus musculus (house mouse). Lineage: Eukaryota; Metazoa; Chordata; Mammalia; Rodentia; Muridae. The record is from RNAcentral.